GACGAACGCUGGCGGCGUGCCUAAUACAUGCAAGUAGAACGCACAGUUUAUACCGUAGCUUGCUACACCAUAGACUGUGAGUUGCGAACGGGUGAGUAACGCGUAGGUAACCUGCCUGGUAGCGGGGGAUAACUAUUGGAAACGAUAGCUAAUACCGCAUAAUAUUAAUUAUUGCAUGAUAAUUGAUUAAAAGGUGCAAUUGCACCACUACCAGAUGGACCUGCGUUGUAUUAGCUAGUAGGUGAGGUAACGGCUCACCUAGGCGACGAUACAUAGCCGACCUGAGAGGGUGAUCGGCCACACUGGGACUGAGACACGGCCCAGACUCCUACGGGAGGCAGCAGUAGGGAAUCUUCGGCAAUGGACGAAAGUCUGACCGAGCAACGCCGCGUGAGUGAAGAAGGUUUUCGGAUCGUAAAGCCCUGUUGUAAGAGAAGAACGGGUGUGAGAGUGGAAAGUUCACACUGUGACGGUAUCUUACCAGAAAGGGACGGCUAACUACGUGCCAGCAGCCGCGGUAAUACGUAGGUCCCGAGCGUUGUCCGGAUUUAUUGGGCGUAAAGCGAGCGCAGGCGGUUAGAUAAGUCUGAAGUUAAAGGCUGUGGCUUAACCAUAGUACGCUUUGGAAACUGUUUAACUUGAGUGCAGAAGGGGGAGAGUGGAAUUCCAUGUGUAGCGGUGAAAUGCGUAGAUAUAUGGAGGAACACCGGUGGCGAAAGCGGCUCUCUGGUCUGUAACUGACGCUGAGGCUCGAAAGCGUGGGAGCGAACAGG
RNAcentral lists this ribosomal RNA (773 nucleotides) under uncultured Streptococcus sp. RNAcentral's name for it is "bacterial SSU rRNA". It matches the Rfam family "Bacterial small subunit ribosomal RNA", at positions 28 to 776 of the family's 1533-position model. Lineage: Bacteria; Bacillati; Bacillota; Bacilli; Lactobacillales; Streptococcaceae. The record is from RNAcentral.